This 315-nucleotide unclassified non-coding RNA is filed under the name uncultured fungus. RNAcentral's name for it is "sequence contains ITS2". The stretch from base 1 to 52 matches the Rfam family "5.8S ribosomal RNA", at positions 103 to 154 of the family's 154-position model. The record is from RNAcentral. Lineage: Eukaryota; Fungi.
AACGCACCUUGCGCUCUUUGGUAUUCCGAGGAGCAUGCCUGUUUGAGUGUCAUGAAAUUCUCAACCUUGCAAGCUUUUUUGUUGAAAGGCUUUAGUAAGGCUUGGAUAUUGGGAGUUUGCUGGCUCAUUUGAAGUCGGCUCUCCUUAAAUCUAUUAGUAAGAUCACUGCUGAAAUAUCUUUGAUAUGAUAAUUAUCUAUAUCAUUGAUAAUACUCAGCAUUUUUCUUCCAAGGAAAAGGAUCAGGCUUAUAACUGUCUUCAGACAAUUUUGAUUCAUUUGACCUCAAAUCAAGCAGGACUACCCGCUGAACUUAA